ACCUCAAACAGAGCAUCAACGCGGCCCACUCC
RNAcentral lists this non-coding RNA (32 nucleotides) under Geobacter sulfurreducens PCA. Lineage: Bacteria; Pseudomonadati; Thermodesulfobacteriota; Desulfuromonadia; Geobacterales; Geobacteraceae. The record is from RNAcentral.